This 242-nucleotide long non-coding RNA is filed under the name Elaeis guineensis (African oil palm). RNAcentral's name for it is "long non-coding RNA (EGUI_LNC019782)". Lineage: Eukaryota; Viridiplantae; Streptophyta; Magnoliopsida; Arecales; Arecaceae. The record is from RNAcentral.
GUGGGAUAUGCCCCAUAUUAGGUACAAGUCUCAAAAUGAUAAUUAGGUGAACGAUGAUGACCAUUUAAUGCCCUCUAAGAAUUACUUUCUUCAAGUAGCUUCCAAUUAAUGCUUAGUUGAUUUGUAAAAAAUGGCUUCCUAAGUUCAUAUUUUCGAUAGAAAGUUUAUUAGAAGAGAUUGUCAUGUAAACAGGUGUUUGUUCAUAGACAUCUACUACACGCUGAUUACAUUUUCUGCUAUCU